Molecule: non-coding RNA, 799 nt
Organism: Nomia melanderi (Alkali bee)
Lineage: Eukaryota; Metazoa; Arthropoda; Insecta; Hymenoptera; Halictidae
Source: RefSeq, a predicted model, not a curated record
CGCAGUUCUUCACGGUUUAAGAAUAAAUCUCUCGCGAAAAUGAAGUGCAUACUGUUAGCGACUGUUUUAUUGCUGCUGGCAAGCGAUGCUUAUUCGAAACCCUCGUGCGCGAGCGGUGGACCAGUAGACCCAAGAACUGGACAGCCUAUUUGUAAUGACGCAUUCGUUAAUCCUUGCCCUCCAGGCCAUCGUCGUCUGUCAGCGAACCAUCCGAGUCUUAAUAGGCCUGGCCAUAAACUAUCCCACAUAUGCAAGGACGAUCCGUUCGAUGAUACCGGUUUUGCGGCUAUUUAAGGAUUAUCGGCUUCGACUCGAGGAUCAGUUCUACAGUAGACGUUGGAGUAGAGGUUUUCAUUACUUUGGCAACAUGAAGUUUGUAGUUUUGGUGGGCAUUCUAUUGUUAAUGGGGGAAAGUGUUCUGCUUCAUCCGGUGAAAGAGGACUACGGGAUUUAUCCGAAUAUUCCACCAUAUAUGGCGGCUGAUACUGAACGAAGGACUGAUCAGCCAUUAACGGGUCCAAUAUUCGCCAUGCAACCUAUAUCCAUUAUCGUGACACCUCUGAAAAAAUGCCCCGAAGGUCAGCAACUUGAUCCUGCCGGGAAGUGUCAAAAGGUCAUAGCUUGAGUCGGCAUACUGGGACUCAGUUAGGUACAUGACGAUGGAUGGUCAGUCAAAAGAUAAGACAGUUUUGUAAUUACAGACUGUCUCAGAUAUCGGAAUACGAUAACUGUAUGUUGAGGACAAACUAACUUAUAUGUAGAUUAAAUUGAAUAAACAACAAACUUACAGUUUACUUAU